CCCUUAGAUGUUCUGGGCCGCACGCGCGCUACACUGACGAAUGCAACGAGCUUAUAACCUUGGCCGAAAGGUCUGGGUAAUCUCCAAAUUUCGUCGUGAUGGGGAUAGAUUAUUGCAAUUAUUAAUCUUCAACGAGGAAUGCCUAGUAAGCGCAAGUCAUCAGCUUGCGUUGAUUACGUCCCUGCCCUUUGUACACACCGCCCGUCGCUCCUAUCGAUUGAAUGGUCCGGUGAAGCGCUCGGACCGCGGCCUCUUGACGGUUCGCUGUCGAUUGGCUGUGGGAAGUUCGUUAAACCUUAUCAUUUAGAGGAAGGAGAAGUCGUAACA
This 327-nucleotide ribosomal RNA is filed under the name uncultured eukaryote. Its description in RNAcentral is "partial 18S ribosomal RNA". It matches the Rfam family "Eukaryotic small subunit ribosomal RNA", at positions 1470 to 1796 of the family's 1831-position model. The record is from RNAcentral.